AUACCUUUCUCGGCCUUUUGGCUAAGAUCAAGUGUAGUAUCUGUUCUUAUCAGUUUAAUAUCUGAUAUGUGGGCCAUGUGCUCACUUCGAUAUUAAAUUUAUUUUUUGUGGGGAGGGUCCACUACAGUGGCUUGCCACUGGGACCCUUGCGCGUCGCCCAGGCGUUGCACUACAGCCUGGGCCCGGCGCACCCCAA
Oryza nivara is the source of this 196-nucleotide non-coding RNA. The record is from Rfam. Lineage: Eukaryota; Viridiplantae; Streptophyta; Magnoliopsida; Poales; Poaceae.